Molecule: ribosomal RNA, 447 nt
Filed under: uncultured bacterium
Lineage: Bacteria
Description: bacterial SSU rRNA
Rfam family: Bacterial small subunit ribosomal RNA
Source: RNAcentral
UGCCAGACUCCUACGGGAGGCAGCAGUGGGGAAUAUUGCACAAUGGGGGAAACCCUGAUGCAGCGACGCCGCGUGAGUGAAGAAGUAUUUCGGUAUGUAAAGCUCUAUCAGCAGGGAAGAAAAUGACGGUACCUGACUAAGAAGCCCCGGCUAACUACGUGCCAGCGGCCGCGGUAAUACGUAGGGGGCAAGCGUUAUCCGGAUUUACUGGGUGUAAAGGGAGCGUAGACGGCAUGGCAAGUCAGAUGUGAAAGCCCGGGGCUCAACCCCGGGACUGCAUUUGAAACUGUCAGGCUGGAGUGCAGGAGAGGUAAGUGGAAUUCCUAGUGUAGCGGUGAAAUGCGUAGAUAUCAGGAGGAACACCGGUGGCGAAGGCGGCCUGCUGGACUGCAACUGACGUUGAGGCCCGAAAGCGUGGGGAGCAAACAGGAUUAGAUACCCGUGUAA